Molecule: ribosomal RNA, 700 nt
Filed under: uncultured bacterium
Lineage: Bacteria
Description: bacterial SSU rRNA
Rfam family: Bacterial small subunit ribosomal RNA
Source: RNAcentral
AGUGGCGGACGGGUGAGUAACGCGUAAGAAUCUAACUUCAGGACGGGGACAACAGUGGGAAACGACUGCUAAUACCCGAUGUGCCGCGAGGUGAAACCUAAUUGGCCUGAAGAAGAGCUUGCGUCUGAUUAGCUAGUUGGUGGGGUAAGAGCCUACCAAGGCGACGAUCAGUAGCUGGUCUGAGAGGAUGAGCAGCCACACUGGGACUGAGACACGGCCCAGACUCCUACGGGAGGCAGCAGUGGGGAAUUUUCCGCAAUGGGCGAAAGCCUGACGGAGCAACGCCGCGUGAGGGAGGAAGGUCUUUGGAUUGUAAACCUCUUUUCUCAAGGAAGAAGUUCUGACGGUACUUGAGGAAUCAGCCUCGGCUAACUCCGUGCCAGCAGCCGCGGUAAUACGGGGGAGGCGAGCGUUAUCCGGAAUUAUUGGGCGUAAAGCGUCCGCAGGUGGUCAGCCAAGUCUGCCGUCAAAUCAGGUUGCUUAACGACCUACAGGCGGUGGAAACUGGCAGACUAGAGAGCAGUAGGGGUAGCAGGAAUUCCCAGUGUAGCGGUGAAAUGCGUAGAGAUUGGGAAGGACAUCGGUGGCGAAAGCGUGCUACUGGGCUGUAUCUGACACUCAGGGACGAAUGCUAGGGGAGCGAAAGGGAUUAGAUACCCCUGUAGUCCUAGCCGUAAACGAUGGAUACUAGGCGUGGCUU